Molecule: ribosomal RNA, 465 nt
Filed under: uncultured bacterium
Lineage: Bacteria
Description: partial 16S ribosomal RNA
Rfam family: Bacterial small subunit ribosomal RNA
Source: RNAcentral
CCUACGGGAGGCAGCAGUGGGGAAUAUUGCGCAAUGGGCGAAAGCCUGACGCAGCGACGCCGCGUGAGGGAUGAAGGUCUUCGGAUCGUAAACCUCUGUCAGCAGGGAAGAACGGUCACUGUGCUAAUCAGCAGUGAAUUGACGGUACCUGCAAAGGAAGCACCGGCUAACCCCGUGCCAGCAGCCGCGGUAAUACGGAGGGUGCGAGCGUUAAUCGGAAUUACUGGGCGUAAAGCGCUCGUAGGCGGUAUGUCAAGUCAAGGGUGAAAUCCCCGCGCUCAACGUGGGAACUGCCUUUGAAACGGGCAAAAUGGAGUGGUGGAGAGGAUAGGGGAAGUCCAGGUGUAGGGGUGAAAUCCGUAGAUAUCUGGAGGAACAACAGUGGCGAAGGCGACUAUCUGGCACAUAACUGACGCUGAGGAGCGAAAGCGUGGGUAGCAAACAGGAUUAGAUACCCCAGUAGUC